GGCGUAAAGCGUGCCGAUAGGUGGUUUUAUAAGUUUUGCCUAAAAUACCAAAGCUUAACUUUGGACUUGGGCAAAAUACUGUAAAACUAGAGGGGCAAAGAGGUGCUUGGAACGAACGGUGUAGUAGUGAGAUGCGUUGAUAUCGUUCGGAACACCGAAAGCGAAGGCAGAGCACUGGGUGCCACCUGACACUGCUAGGACGAAAGCGUGGGGAGCGAAUGGGAUUAGAUACCCCAGUAGUCCACGCUGUAAACGAUGAAUAUUAGGCAUGCGCGAGUAUCGACCCUCGUGCGAGCCGUAGCUAACGCGCUAAAUAUUCCGCCUGGGGAGUACGGUCGCAAGACUAAAACUCAAAGGAAUUGACGGGGACCCGCACAAGCGGUGGAGCAUGUGGCUUAAUUCGAUGGUAAGCGAGGAACCUUACCAGGGUUUGACAUUCUUCUGCAAGCGCACGGAAACGUGUGACCUUCGAGGGUGAAGAACAGGUACUGCACGGCUGUCGUCAGCUCGUGUCGUGAGAUGUUCCCUUAAGUGGGAGAACGAGCGCAACCCCCGUAGUAUGUUGAUUUUCAUACUAGACUGCCAGCGUUUAAGUUGGAGGAAGGUGGGGAUGACGUCAAGUCAGCGUGGUUUUUACGCCCUGGGCGACACACGUGCUACAAUGGGUAGGAACAAAGGGACGCAAAGCCGUAAGGUGGAGCAAAUCCUCUCAAAAACUACCCUCAGUUCAGAUUGAGGGCUGCAACUCGCCCUCAUGAAGCUGGAAUCGC
RNAcentral lists this ribosomal RNA (770 nucleotides) under uncultured Rubrobacteria bacterium. RNAcentral's name for it is "bacterial SSU rRNA". It matches the Rfam family "Bacterial small subunit ribosomal RNA", at positions 557 to 1335 of the family's 1533-position model. Lineage: Bacteria; Bacillati; Actinomycetota; Rubrobacteria. The record is from RNAcentral.